AUGUGGGUCUUUUUCUAUGGUAAGAAAAUCUCCUCAUUGCACCGAAGGAAUAACGGAAGCAAAAUCCCCGAAAUCCCCUCCUAAAAUUCCAUUACCAUAAUAAGGUCACGUCAAUCUGUGACUCUGAGCUCUCUCUUCCUCUCCUUGAGGUCAUCUUAUAUGUUAGAAAAUUCUCUCUUCUUGUACUAAAAAGAGAGAGAAAUAAAUAAAUAAACAAUGAAACCCCUCCAUAGCUCUCUAUAUAUAAUGAGUCUUCUAUAGGUUUAGGGUCGUAUGGUGUGAUCUCUCCCCCUCUCUUUCUCUCUCUUUUUCUCUCUGAAUUUUCUUGGUGAUUAUCCAUGCAUUCAAGAAGGAUUUGAGGCUUGUGAUCUCUCCCCCUCUCCUUCUCUCUGCAUUUUCUUGGUGAUUACCAUGCAUUCAAGAAGGAUUUGAGGCUACUGCUGAAGAAGAAAAGGUUGCAACAACUUCAUUCUUUCUGCAUCAAAUGGACAUAUUCCAGAGUAAAUUGUGCAAUCCAUUGGCAAGGAGUGUCAAAGACAUCGAUCAAUUCCCUUGAUACCAUUAUCACAAAUUUACUUCUUGUUUCCCAUCUCGUUCGAGCCAAGCUGCAAAAGAGCCUAAAUUUUAGAGAGACACAGAACAACAUUGCUAUUCCCAAACUACCCUUAGACUGUAUUUUUGUCUGUAAAACUAAUUUACUAUUCAUGAUGAAUACAUUGCUCUUUUAUAGUAUGUUUAUUUUUGGUGUU
Molecule: long non-coding RNA, 749 nt
Organism: Quercus robur (English oak)
Lineage: Eukaryota; Viridiplantae; Streptophyta; Magnoliopsida; Fagales; Fagaceae
Exons: 2
Source: RefSeq, a predicted model, not a curated record